This 24-nucleotide non-coding RNA is filed under the name Arabidopsis thaliana (thale cress). Lineage: Eukaryota; Viridiplantae; Streptophyta; Magnoliopsida; Brassicales; Brassicaceae. The record is from RNAcentral.
AGACUCUGAAGUGCAUGUGUCAUC